UGAAAUCUCACGGCUUAACUGUGAGCGUGCGGGCGAUACGGGCAGACUUGAGUACUGCAGGGGAGACUGGAAUUCCUGGUGUAGCGGUGGAAUGCGCAGAUAUCAAGAGGAACACCGGUGGCGAAGGCGGGUCUCUGGGCAGUAACUGACGCUGAGGAGCGAAAGCGUGGGGAGCGAACAGGAUUAGAUACCCUGGUAGUCCACGCCGUAAACGGUGGGUACUAGGUGUGGGUUACCUUCCUUGGGAUCCGUGCCGUAGCUAACGCAUUAAGUACCCCGCCUGGGGAGUACGGCCGCAAGGCUAAAACUCAAAGAAAUUGACGGGGGCCGCACACGAGCGGCGGAGCAUGUGGAUUAAUUCGAUGCAACGCGAAGAACCUUACCUGGGUUUGACAUGCACAGGACGCCGGCAGAGAUGUCGGUUCCAUUGUGGCCUGUGUGCAGGUGGUGCAUGGCUGUCGUCAGCUCGUGUCGUGAGAUGUUGGGUUAAGUCCCGCAACGAGCGCAACCCUUGUCUCAUGUUGCCAGCGGGUAAUGCCGGGGACUCGUGAGAGACUGCCGGGGUCAACUCGGAGGAAGGUGGGGAUGACGUCAAGUCAUCAUGCCCCUUAUGUCCAGGGCUUCACACAUGCUACAAUGGCCGGUACAAAGGGCUGCGAUGCCGCGAGGUUAAGCGAAUCCUUUUAAAGCCGGUCUCAGUUCGGAUCGGGGUCUGCAACUCGACCCCGUGAAGUCGGAGUCGCUAGUAAUCGCAGAUCA
RNAcentral lists this ribosomal RNA (759 nucleotides) under uncultured Mycobacterium sp. Its description in RNAcentral is "bacterial SSU rRNA". It matches the Rfam family "Bacterial small subunit ribosomal RNA", at positions 595 to 1351 of the family's 1533-position model. The record is from RNAcentral. Lineage: Bacteria; Bacillati; Actinomycetota; Actinomycetes; Mycobacteriales; Mycobacteriaceae.